CAGGGAAUCUUCUACAAUGGGCGAAGGCCUGAUGGAGCAACGCCGCGUGUGUGAUGAAGGGUUUCGGCUCGUAAAACACUGUUGUAAGAGAAGAAUGACAUUGAGAGUAACUGUUCAAUGUGUGACGGUAUCUUACCAGAAAGGAACGGCUAAAUACGUGUCAG
Molecule: ribosomal RNA, 164 nt
Filed under: uncultured bacterium
Lineage: Bacteria
Description: partial 16S rRNA
Rfam family: Bacterial small subunit ribosomal RNA
Source: RNAcentral